CGGUGGAGGAUGAAUGUGAGGAACGGGAGGGGGGUGCAUGGCGGGGGCAGCUCACUGCUCCGGGGCUGGAUCCAGAGGAUCCUCUGAUCCUCUCGUGGGGGAGAGGUUUGGAAGCUGGCGCGGAGGAAGUCAGAAAGUGGAUGUGUGGCGAAGCAGAAAGUUGGAAUCCUUAUGUCAGCUCCAGAUGACUGGAAAUGUUCCUGAUCUGUGAAACCUCAAAGUCUGGGAACCGCUGCCUUGGAAUUUAUGAAACAUUUUCAGACACAUAAUCUUACUCAUUUCCCAUCUGACAGGGUCAGCCUCUUUGACAGCAUUACAGGAAGGCUUCGAGGUGUCUCCUUGUGACCAUGUUGUGAAUGAACCAUCCCCGGCAUCUCACCUUGCAGGUGAGGAGGCUGCAUCCUGACCAUGGUCCAUCUUCUAUCUGGGGCAGGAGGUUGGGAUCCUUCAAGAUGUUGUUGAGCGUGGCUCCACCUCCACAGGAAGAUUGACAAGGCCCCUGGGAACACUGAGCUCUCCCGGCCUCGUGCAGAGAUAGAAAGCCGAGCAAGACAGACACCUUCCCCUCCGCUGCCUGUUAUAUAAAAUAAGAAGAAAGAAAGAAUGGGGGGAAAUUCAUAGGCUGGUCUAAUUCCGUUAAAUACAAAGCAGAAAAUAACAAGAAGAUCAAAGGAAGGCCAAAAGGAAGGAGACAGAAAAAUAAAAGGAGGGGGACGGAGAGCCUGGAAGGGAGGAAGUAGAGAAAGAAAAAGAAGCGGGGGAGGAUGUCCACUGAAAAUUGGCUGUCCUCUUUCUAGGUGCCUGUGGGCUACCUGCCAAAUCAAUUGAUUACAUCUGUAGGCAGAGUUGCCUUUUUAUUUCACACCAAUUUUCACGGGCAGCGUAAGAUAAAAAUGGAAGAGAUGAAGUGAAUGGGAAAAGAUGAUUGAAUGUUGAUGUAAAAAGGGAAGGUGCGAGGAAGGGGGGUGCUGGACAUGCAGUUACAAGAGCUUGCUGCAGAGGGGAUUUUGAAUCAUGUGCCCCCCACCCCUUUAUUCUUUUCUUUCCUUUAUAUGCUCUUUGAAAACCUGUCUCCUAUUCCCGGUGACCCGUUUGCCACAACCCACCUUGGCAAAAGCCAUGGAUACACCCCCAGGCCUCCAGGAAGCAGUGUGGCCCCAGAGAGCUUGGCAAGGAAUGUAUGUAGGCGGCAAAGGGCAGCUGAUCACUCACUGCAUGGCCUUAACUCAGUCUCUCCUACUCCCGAAGCCUCAGUUUCCCCACCUGGGGUGUGGUGAUAAUCAUCCACUUGGCUGUGAUACUGGGGAGUGCUAACAGGUGAGAAGUCUGAGAUGUGCUUUGCAAAAAUCAGGAACUAUAUGCAGGCUCCAUAAUCCCAGCAAACAAAAAUCAAAUCCUGCAAAUGCAAAGCAAUGGCCCGCUGUGGGAGGGUAUGUCCCAUAGUGGGCUGUCCUGGUCCACACUGGUGGGCUGUUGGAGGCUCAGUUCACUGCUAUCUCCCUGGAAGAGUCCUCCAUGUACCUGGGCAUCCGAGCUGUGUCUUCAUAGGCCAGUGGCUGGCUAUGAGGGUCUGUUUCCCAGGAACCCUUUGGUUUAGGCCUACCAUCAGGGGAUUGGGGAACAGGUUCCUGCUAAAAAUCCCUUCUGCAAAGAGCUUGCCUCCCAGGUCCUGAUACUGUUCCCCACAAUGACAUGGGCAGAGGGGGAUCUGGGGAAUCGCCUCUCCCAGCUUCCCAGGUACCAUCCCAAAGCCACCAGAAACACGACCCUCUCUGCUGAUACAAGCAGGGUUGAAGGGAGAAAGGGUUGGCUUGCUGGCUCAUGUGUCAUUUCAAUGAGCGGGUGUUUGACAUUCUUUCCAUGCUGGAUCAGAUCAACCUAAUCCGAGGUCUUCAUCUGUGUUGCAAAAAGGGCAAAGCAGGAUGCCACUGACCACACAGGCACCUGCUUCUUUCUCCUGGCAGGUCUGGGCUACCAGCAUGGCAGGUGGUGCCCAAAGGCAGACUAUGCUUCCUUGGGGGAGAGAGCCAACAGAUGCCUCUGCUGCCCAUCAUGGGGCUGUAACUGCUCUGGACGGGGAGCUGAGCAUCCCUGGGGGUUCUUUAGAAUGAUCAUGACACAGAGGAGAGAAAUGAGGCCCAGUGAGGGACGUGAUUCAUCCCAGGACUCAGAGUAGGCAGAAGCAGAGGCAGAGGCAGAGGGGCGGCUGGGAUUUGGCCAUGUAUUGGCUGUCUUUUAUCCAGGUGCUUUCCAUGUCUGCCAGCAUCUGUGAGGAUGUUUGUGCGCACAUGCUUUUGUGCAUGCUCGUGCAUGCAUGUGUGUGCAGGGAGGAGCAGAGGAUAUGUACAGGGCACCCUUUGGAAGCAAGCCACAUGGAGAGGCCUGGAUUUCCCAGCUGAGGGCUCUUGCAACAGGAGGCAGAAGUGAUAAGUGCAUUUGCCUUGUAAACUCAGGGCAUGCCCUGCCUGGGUAAAGCAUAUCAGGAAUUGUGUCACAUACCAGAUGACUCCUGCUCGUAUUUCCUCUUUAUGGCCACCUGUGCUGGGCACUCCUGGGCCCCCUAUGAGAUCCCCAUGCACAGAGUCCAUCAUACCUGCUGGGCUGGCCAGCUCCCAGGCCCCCAUCUGCCCUCCCUGAGGAACAUGGGGCCUAGGAGGGAUCUGCUUCAUCUUCCUGUCUGUCCCGACACCCACAUGGUUCCUCACUCGGUGCUCUGCAAAUGGGAGGUGCCCAGCGAGAAGGGCCCACAGGAGAAGCCAGGCUACUAUGUCAGGAGGCCUUUUCUUGCACAUGUGGAGAAGACAGCUAGAAUGGGUGCCACCCCCAAAUAUCACCUGCCACAUGUCAUCAGACUUUCUUUAUCACCAUCAAAGUCCCUGGGGUGAGAAGAGGGUGGGGGGCACCCUCCUUUCAUCUGACACCUUGAAGCAGAGAUUUGUUCCUACCAAAAAGAGAACUGGACACAGAUGUGAAAGGAAGUUGGGGCCCCCAGGUCUACUCCCAUGGAUGAGCAAGUGUUUCCCAAAUGUGGCAUUCCCUGUGGGUGGCCUGCCCUUCCUUCCUUGACCCACCCAGAGGAUACCCCAGCUGUGGUGGACAGUUCAUGCACACACAAAGGCUCUGCACCCCAGCAACCACUGCUCUUUGCUUUUAGGGGUUCUUUGGUCGUGGAAGGGGCUUAGCCCUGCAGGGCAGGCUGGAAGUGCUGGGAGUGAGUGAACUCCCUAAGUGGGGCUCUCAGCUCUGAGGGACAGGGGCUCCUAGAGAAAUGGCCUGGCUUCCUGAUGAGUUCUACAGCCCCUCAGAAUCCUGGAGGGGUUAGGUCCCCAUUACAGACAAGGGAACCCUGCUCCUUGGCACAUCUGUAAUUGGCUUUCCUCUUCCUCUUCUUACUUCUCCCCUUCCUCACAGUGCUUCCUGUGACCACCUCCCAGAUAAACCCCAUCCUUGUUGGGGGGCCUGUUUUUAGGCAAACCCCAACUAAGGCAGGAAGCUCCCCACACUAUAGUGGAGGGAGCCAGGAUGCCAAGCACUGGGUGCCCCAGCUCUCUGGCUCACCAGCCACGAGGUGCCAGGCACGUCCCUUGACUUCUCCAAGCCUGUUUCCAUGUUUGUAACAUGAGGGUUAAUGCGCCACCAUUCUGAGUCUGCCUCUUAAAUGCUGUAGGAAUUAAAUUCAUUCAGGAUUGCCACCGGUCAGAAGCACAGGCUAUAUGCUAUAGAUCUGGAUUACAAGAUUAAAGAUCAAUACAGCAUUGUACAGCAGCAAGUGUUAAAUUGGGUGACAAAUGCUAAACAGAGCUUGGAGUGAGACAAAGGAAGGAUAUAGUCGAAGAAGGUUUCCUGGAAGAGGUAAGGAUUGAGUUGGCCUUAAAGGAGGGGUGGGUCCAGGUAGGUUGGGGCCCAAGGCUCGAGGGGAGAGCUUGGGAAGAGGCCUCUGGAGGCAGCCUGCAAGGGUGUGGGAGCUCCUCUACCUAUCAGGGAAUCUUUUCAAUCCUGGCCAAUGGCAGUGGGCCAUGUAUUGUGCCACAUGGGAGGUGUUGGGGCUGUAGUAAUGUUUCUGUUUUCAUGACUGUCUAUAAUUUUCUAUGAAAAAGGGGUAGUGGGAGUGUAUGGAUAGUUUAAAGAGACACUGUCCACCUUUUACCUUCUCAACUCAUCGCGUAUUAUCCCUUUUCUGUCCCUUUCCACCCCAUUCCCAUUUUACCCUCCCAUCUCAUCCCAUUGUGUGCCUUUCCUUCCCUUUCCUCUCCUCCCACCCUGUCCCAUGUCACUCUGUCCCUUCCCUUCUGUCUCCUCCCCUAGCACCCAUUCCAUCUUGUUCUGCCUCAUCCCAUCCCAUCCCAUCCCAUCCCAUCCCAUCCCAUCCCAUCCCAUUUCAUCCCAUUCCCAUCCCAUUUCAUCCCAUCCCAUCCCAUUUCAUCCCAUUCCCAUCCCAUUUCAUCCCAUCCCAUCCCAUCCCAUCCCAUCCCAUCCCAUCCCAUCC
Molecule: long non-coding RNA, 4486 nt
Organism: Callithrix jacchus (white-tufted-ear marmoset)
Lineage: Eukaryota; Metazoa; Chordata; Mammalia; Primates; Cebidae
Source: RefSeq, a predicted model, not a curated record